AAUCAACGCUGGCGGCGUGCCUAACACAUGCAAGUCGAACGGGGAUCGUCAGUGUAGCAAUACAUCGGCGGUUCUAGUGGCGCACGGGUGAGUAACACGUGGGUAACCUGCCCUUGAGUUCGGGAUACCCUUUCGAAAGGAAGGCUAAUACCGGAUACGUUCCUCGGAUUGCCAAAUCUGGGGAGGAAAGGUGGCGCAAGCUGCCGCUCUUGGAGGGGCUCGCGGCCUAUCAGCUAGUUGGUGAGGUAACGGCUCACCAAGGCUAUGACGGGUAGCUGGUCUGAGAGGACGACCAGCCACACGGGAACUGAGACACGGUCCCGACUCCUACGGGAGGCAGCAGUGGGGAAUUUUCCGCAAUGGGCGAAAGCCUGACGCAGCAACGCCGCGUGAAGGAUGAAAUCCCUCGGGAUGUAAACUUCGCAAGUAUGGGAAGAAAUAAAUGACGGUACCAUACGUAA
This 461-nucleotide ribosomal RNA is filed under the name uncultured bacterium. RNAcentral describes it as "bacterial SSU rRNA". It matches the Rfam family "Bacterial small subunit ribosomal RNA", at positions 32 to 489 of the family's 1533-position model. The record is from RNAcentral.